GUGUUUCCUCCUUUUAUUCCUGAUAACUCAUCUGUCCUUUCAGUGAAGUGUAUUUUAAGCAUACUUUGCUCCAGUGAUGAGUAUCCUGCCAAAUCUCCAGUUAUUCCAAGUGAAAUUUCCUGUUAAUAACCCACCUCCGCUUUGGUAGCAAGAAGGUAAUGAACCUGGGGCAAAGGAGUACAAUUCGCGAAUACGGUAUUAGAGCAAGAAGCAACUGACAAACACAGUGGCCGGCCAUCAUCUUUUGAGUUGAGAGCACUUCUAGAAUUAGCCUUUCCAUCAUUUCUUUGAGGCAAGUUUGUAGAAGAAAUCUACCAUAAAGGAGGGGUAGUAAAAGAUGCCUUUAUACAGAUAACAUGCCUUAGCCUAAGGGAUAGGAGUCGUGGCUUCUAGUCUAUCAGUGACCUUCCUGACAAGGAAAUCAUACUUUCUCACUGGCCAAGAUUGGGUGUAGAAAUCAGUGUCACACCAUGCUCUUCACUACCUACUCAGGCAAGGCACAAAAUACCGGGGGGUACUGGGAAAUUGUGCUGUUAAUUGAAAUAUCUAGAUUAUGUUGUUUCUGAGCUCUGUACCUAUCCCCUGCAGACCCUGAGUAGACUGCUUCAAAUUUGUGUGAUCUUCCAGCUAAGGCAGACAGUCCGUGGGAAGUGUCACGAGGUGGAGGGAAGUAUGGCAGGGCCUUCCACAGGACAGAGCAGCCUUCUGUCAGGACAGGCGUGUGUAGAAAUGUGGAAAUGAGGCAGGGCUGCCUUCACAGAAACCUGUGUCCUGGUCUCCGACGCUAACUGUGCCAGGCAGAGUCCAAUCGAGUCAUACUGGGGCUGGCGUUGUAACUGGUAGAGCAUCUGCCUAGCACAGGUGAGGCCCUGAGUCCCAUCCUGUCACCACCCCCUCCAGCGAAACCCUCAGACCCUUUUUUUUUGGUUCAUGAGGCAAAGAUGCAAACAGCAUUGUUUUGGGGCGGUCAAACCACCCUACCGAACAGUUUCGCAUGACCUGUGUGGCCUGGCAGAGCCUAUGUCCUUGUGUUUAAAUGCUGCUUCCUCCAUUUCCACCUUGACCUUCUGAGGACUCCUUUGGCUUGCUGAAGUUUCAGAUUCUUGUUGGAGGCAGCCUGGAAGCUGG
RNAcentral lists this long non-coding RNA (1128 nucleotides) under Heterocephalus glaber (naked mole-rat). RNAcentral's name for it is "lncRNA (ENSHGLG00100034351.1)". Lineage: Eukaryota; Metazoa; Chordata; Mammalia; Rodentia; Bathyergidae. The record is from RNAcentral.